Triticum aestivum (bread wheat) is the source of this 1215-nucleotide long non-coding RNA. RefSeq lists it as uncharacterized. The transcript is spliced from 3 exons. NCBI's taxonomy places the organism in Eukaryota, Viridiplantae, Streptophyta, Magnoliopsida, Poales, Poaceae. The record is from RefSeq and is a predicted model, not a curated record.
ACUCCAAUAUAAGCGACAUGAAUUCGUCGAGCGGGCUUCCUCCUCUGAGCACCUCAGAGGAGCGCCAUCCCUCCCCCACUGCCUAGGAAGGGCUGGGGGAGGCAACCUCCAAGCAGGCUCCGCCGGAGGCCCCUACGGGGGGCGGGUUCAACACCCUUGUGGCUGAGGCCUCGGCCUUGGCCUCCAAGGACCCCAUGGAGAAGAACCCCUCCUUAACCUAGGGCAGCCGAGCAAUUCGGCGCGUGCUGACCCGGAGCCACCUCGGUAGCCCCUUAUGACGCCCAUCCCUCCCAUGACGGGGAGGGCCGAGGUGGCCUGUCCAUCCUCUCCUGCCAUAGGGCAGGAGUUGGCGGGGUCGACCAAGGAGAUGGAGGCAUACACGAUGGACUCUUCCAUUGUUGCCAAUCACCUUGUCCUACUGGGUGCGGCGCUGCAGAGUUACUGGUCCGCAGAGGCCGGUAUCAAGGAGGCCUUCAGGGGCCACUAUCAUGGUUUUGAGAUUUUGGCCUCGGUUUUGGCAUCCAAUGCGAAAGAGUUGGAGGAGCUAAACCAAAAGCCCGACCGGUCAAGAAGGAUGCGGAUCUGCUCAAGAAGCAGAUGGAGGUUGCUGAAGGUAAAUAUGGAAAGUCUUGUAGCUUUUGCGAAUUUGCGAUGCCCGCUUUGAGUUAUGAUUCUAACACUGAUGUGUUCGCGGCUGCCUCUGCGGAGCUGGAAAAGCUCCGAUCCGAGCUGAAAACGGCUCGGCAAGUGGCCGAACAGCAAAGGGCCACGGCAGAGAGGGCCAACACAGAGCUGGUGAAGGAAAAGCAGGUCAGCGAGAGGCACGUGGCCCGGGUUGCCGAGGUUGAAGAAAACCUGAAAGGCUUUUGCGCACAGCGUGAUGCUCUUUAGAAGGAGAAGGACACACUCAUGUCCGAGCUGGCCGCAGCCAGCUCGACGUGCAAAGAGGCCAAGACCCAAGCCCGGGCUGAUCACGAGACGCUUCAACAAGUGAAGCAAAUCGCCGAUGAGGUCUUUAGGGACCUACUGUGGAGUGCCGUGAACGCUGGUGCACACUUCGCUACCCAACCUGACGGGUCCAAGGAGAAGACCUUCUCGGCCUGAUACGUCUCCGUUGCAUUUAUAACUUUUUAUUGUUUCAUGUUAAUAUUAUACAAUUUUUACAUACUUUUGGCAACAUUUUAUAUUAUUUUUUGGGACUAACAUAUUGAUUCA